RNAcentral lists this non-coding RNA (24 nucleotides) under Arabidopsis thaliana (thale cress). The record is from RNAcentral. Lineage: Eukaryota; Viridiplantae; Streptophyta; Magnoliopsida; Brassicales; Brassicaceae.
AGAUAGGAUGAUCCGUUCGGUGGA